Molecule: ribosomal RNA, 336 nt
Filed under: Salmonella enterica subsp. enterica
Lineage: Bacteria; Pseudomonadati; Pseudomonadota; Gammaproteobacteria; Enterobacterales; Enterobacteriaceae
Description: partial 23S ribosomal RNA
Rfam family: Bacterial large subunit ribosomal RNA
Source: RNAcentral
GGGUUGUGAGGUUAAGCGACUAAGCGUACACGGUGGAUGCCCUGGCAGUCAGAGGCGAUGAAGGGCGUGCUAAUCUGCGAUAAGCGCCGGUAAGGUGAUAUGAACCGUUAUAACCGGCGAUACCCGAAUGGGGAAACCCAGUGUGACUCGUCACACUAUCAUUAACUGAAUCCAUAGGUUAAUGAGGCGAACCGGGGGAACUGAAACAUCUAAGUACCCCGAGGAAAAGAAAUCAACCGAGAUUCCCCCAGUAGCGGCGAGCGAACGGGGAGGAGCCCAGAGCCUGAAUCAGCAUGUGUGUUAGUGGAAGCGUCUGGAAAGGCGCGCGAUACAGGG